This 240-nucleotide long non-coding RNA is filed under the name Elaeis guineensis (African oil palm). RNAcentral describes it as "long non-coding RNA (EGUI_LNC082871)". Lineage: Eukaryota; Viridiplantae; Streptophyta; Magnoliopsida; Arecales; Arecaceae. The record is from RNAcentral.
CUGGGAAAAGCUCAAUUUAGUAUUUACUAUCAAAGUCUGUUUUAGGUGUCAAGUGUAUUAGUCCAUCUUUCAAAUUUUGGCGGCUAGAUUUUGUUAUAUAGUGGUACAUAUUUUGAAGCGAUGCCGAUAUAUCAUAAUAUACUUAUAUGAUAUUGUAAAAUGAAGGAUGGAGUAUGAUAUAAAGUGCAUUUUCUCUAUCAAAUAUUUUGUGUUAUGCACACUUUUGAGUUUUUUCUUUUC